RNAcentral lists this ribosomal RNA (390 nucleotides) under uncultured Nitrososphaerota archaeon. RNAcentral describes it as "bacterial SSU rRNA". It matches the Rfam family "Archaeal small subunit ribosomal RNA", at positions 339 to 728 of the family's 1478-position model. Lineage: Archaea; Thermoproteati; Nitrososphaerota. The record is from RNAcentral.
GCGAGAAAACUUUGCAAUGUGCGAAAGCACGACAAGGUUAAUCCGAGUGGUUUCUGCUAAAGGAACCUUUUGUUCGGUCCUAGAAACACCGAUGAAUAAGGGGUGGGGCAAGUUCUGGUGUCAGCCGCCGCGGUAAAGCCAGCACCUCAAGUGGUCAGGAUGAUUAUUGGGCCUAAAGCAUCCGUAGCCGGCUCUGUUAGUUUUCGGUUAAAUCUAUUCGCUCAACGAAUAGGCUGCCGGGAAUACUGCAAAGCUAGGGAGUGGGAGAGGUAGACGGUACUCGGUAGGAAGGGUAAAAUCCUUGAUCUAUUGAUGACCACCUGUGGCGAAGGCGGUCUACCAGAACACGUCCGACGGUGAGGGAUGAAAGCGUGGGGGAGACAAACCGGA